GGCAAUAAAAAAUGCUCCUGGCUGUAUUCGUCCAUUGGUUUCUCGAAUUUUGCCACAUAUUGGGCCAAUCUUAAAUAAACCACACCAACAGCCUGAUGGACUUGUAGCUGGAUCCUUGGAUCUGGUAACUAUGCUAUUAAAGAAUGCUCCAAAUGACGUAAUAAAAGCUGUAUAUGAUGUUUGUUUUGAUGCUGUUAUACG
RNAcentral lists this unclassified non-coding RNA (201 nucleotides) under Hevea brasiliensis (rubber tree). Lineage: Eukaryota; Viridiplantae; Streptophyta; Magnoliopsida; Malpighiales; Euphorbiaceae. The record is from RNAcentral.